Molecule: long non-coding RNA, 286 nt
Filed under: Elaeis guineensis (African oil palm)
Lineage: Eukaryota; Viridiplantae; Streptophyta; Magnoliopsida; Arecales; Arecaceae
Description: long non-coding RNA (EGUI_LNC011059)
Source: RNAcentral
AUCAACUUUGCAUCCAGCCACAUAAAACCAUCAACUGAUCUAUGCACCAAACAUGGAAAGCACUAAAUGGAGGAGAUAUUAUAUCUUAUACUAUGUGGCCGUGCAUCAUGCCAAUCAGACCACCUCAUUCCUAUAGACCAUGUUGCCGCAAGGUUCAGAGAGGUGCUGAUGUGCCUAAAGUUGAAUGCCAUAUAAAAUCCAUAAAUACCAAAAAGUACCUGCGAAAAAAAUCCACACUCACUAGAAUGUUCCAACGGGAGAGAUCGUCUGAUGCUUAAAUUAGCCA